AUUAGAUACCCGGGUAGUCCUAGCCGUAAACGAUACUCGCUAGGUGUCGGCCACGGUGCGACCGUUGUCGGUGCCGUAGGGAAGCCGUGAAGCGAGCCACCUGGGAAGUACGGCCGCAAGGCUGAAACUUAAAGGAAUUGGCGGGGGAGCACCACAACGGGUGGAGCUUGCGGUUUAAUUGGAUUCAACGCCGGAAAUCUUACCGGGACCGACAGCAAUAUGAAGGCCAGGCUGAAGACUUUGCCGGAUUAGCUAAGAGGUGGUGCAUGGC
RNAcentral lists this ribosomal RNA (271 nucleotides) under uncultured archaeon. RNAcentral's name for it is "partial 16S ribosomal RNA". It matches the Rfam family "Archaeal small subunit ribosomal RNA", at positions 728 to 998 of the family's 1478-position model. The record is from RNAcentral.